Molecule: ribosomal RNA, 263 nt
Filed under: uncultured bacterium
Lineage: Bacteria
Description: partial 16S ribosomal RNA
Rfam family: Bacterial small subunit ribosomal RNA
Source: RNAcentral
GUCCACGCCGUAAACGAUGGACACUAGGCGUCGGGGGAGCGACCCUCCCGGUGCCGUCGCUAACGCAGUAAGUGUCCCGCCUGGGGAGUACGGCCGCAAGGCUGAAACUCAAAGGAAUUGACGGGGCCCGCACAAGCGGUGGAGCAUGUGGUUUAAUUCGAAGCAACGCGAAGAACCUUACCUGGGCUUGACAUGCACGGGAAAGCCGGUGGAAACAUCGGUUCCUCUUCGGAGUCCGUGCACAGGUGCUGCAUGGCUGUCGU